This 459-nucleotide ribosomal RNA is filed under the name uncultured bacterium. RNAcentral's name for it is "partial 16S ribosomal RNA". It matches the Rfam family "Bacterial small subunit ribosomal RNA", at positions 338 to 795 of the family's 1533-position model. The record is from RNAcentral.
CCUACGUGAGGCAGCAGUGAGGAAUAUUGGUCAAUGGUCGGGAGACUGAACCAGCCAAGCCGCGUGAGGGAGGAAGGUACAGAGUAUCGUAAACCUCUUUUGUCAGGGAACAAAGACUGGGACGCGUCCCCGGAUGAGUGUACCUGAAGAAACAGCAUCGGCUAACUCCGUGCCAGCAGCAGCGGUAAUACGGAGGAUGAGAGCGUUAUGCUGCUUUGUAGGGUGUAACGGGUGCGCAGUCGGUCUGUUAAGUCACGGGUCAAAGCCUUGGGCUCAACCCGGGACCGCCGUUGAAACUGGCAGUCUCGAGUUGGAGAGAAGUAUGCGGAAUGCGCGGUGUAGCGGUGAAAUGCAUAGAUGUCGCGCAGAACUCCGAUUGCGAAGGCAGCAUGCCGGCUCCACACUGACGCUGAGGCACGAAAGCGUGGGUAUCGAACAGGAUUAGAUACCCUAGUAGUC